AUAUCGGCUUUGAAGGAAUCCUAGUAGCGACUUAUAUCCCUGUCUCAGAGAACUGAUGGUGGUGCGAAUCAGUACAUAUACAAGCGUGAAUUACAAUUCUGGAGCUUCUUUCCCGUAGUGCACUAUUGCAUGAAGAGAAAGACGGAUCUUUCCGUUAUCUUAAAGUGAGUGGUAAACAAUUUUUUCUGUUUACAAGUAGGGUGGUACCGCGAUUUCUAUCGUCCCUAUC
This 229-nucleotide non-coding RNA is filed under the name Bacillus gaemokensis. RNAcentral's name for it is "T-box sequence". It matches the Rfam family "T-box leader". Rfam says of the family: Uncharged tRNA acts as the effector for transcription antitermination of genes in the T-box leader family. T-boxes are found upstream of many aminoacyl-tRNA synthetase genes and some amino acid biosynthetic genes usually in Gram-positive bacteria. The record is from RNAcentral. Lineage: Bacteria; Bacillati; Bacillota; Bacilli; Caryophanales; Bacillaceae.